CCCAUCUAAUAAAGCCAAGCACGCAAAAACCUCACCUGUCAGUUUCCCGGCUCCCUCGCUCACGCGCCGCGGCAUCACUCCGGCCGGCUGGCCAGUCGCCCACUCUUCCCACCCACACCGCCGCUGCCUUUCCUUCCACGGCGAACUCUCCGCGGGCGACGUCCAGACUGGCAACGGCAUUCCAAUAAAAGAAUGCGCCCCUGCUCUGGCCAACUCUCUCCACCUGCAUUCCCCGUUCCGCUAAACCCUAGCCGCCUCCGGCGCGUAGUAGAUUCGCCAUCAGAGACGACGCUCGGCGGCCCUGAGGAGGGAUGACCUACGUCAACCCAGACCCCCAGCCGCUCGCCGCCGCUACGGCGGAUGAUUCCGCAACCCAGCAUCAAGCUGCGGUGACCGCCGCGCCGCAGUCGACGCGAGGCGCUCUCGGGUUUUUUGCGACGGCGGAGCCGAAGCAGGGCGCGACCAUGGUGGCGCCAUCGUCCCCGCAGGGCGUUCCCGGGUUCGCGGUCGUGCCCCAGGCCCAGGGGGUCGAGAACAUAGCGCCCCCCGCGUCCCCGCAAGGCCCUCCCGGGUUUUGCGUGACGCCCGGGCUCGCGCCACAGCAAGGUGCUCCGGUGAUGGCGCCGCCGCAGGGUGUAACCAUGAUGGCUCCGCAACAGCAGCAUUUCGCGCCUGCGAUGGUGCCUGGCUCCCAGCAAGUUAUGCAGAUGCUCCUUCAAGCCCUCCAAGCCCAAGCCCAAGCCCAAGCCCAGGCCAUGGUUGCUCACCAACCCGCUCAAGGCAUGGCGCCAUCGCAAUGUUUGCCCAUGUGCCAUCCGUCCACGGUGGAGAUGCAGCAAGCUCAAGCUGGACACGUGACGGCACCACCACCUGUGCCACUCGGCCCUCCAUUGAUGAUGCAGCAGCAGCAGCAACCUUCACAAGCUGAUACAGUGAUAAUGGCACAACCGCCUCUGCCACUCGACCCUCCAUUGUUGCAGCAGCAGCAGCCUUCACAAGCUGAUACAGUGAUAAUGGCACAACCGCCUCUGCCUCUUGGCUCUGCGAUGCUUCAGCAACAGCCUCCACAGGGGGCCACGAUGAUGAUGGCACAGCCACCUCUGCCAUUAUUCCCUCCAUCAGUGAUGCUGCAACACAAUCCACAGGGCAACCAGGUGACGAUGGCACAGCCACAAUUCGCUGCUCUACCAUGCAAGCGCCAGCGUCUUGACCAAUAUGACAACAAUUACGGACAGCAUAUGACUGGCCAUCAGGAGGAAACAGCAAUAACCAAUGCUGCAAUAGGACAAUUUUAUGGGCCUAAUAUACACAAUGGGGUUCCUUAUUUUGGUGCACCUGAGCCCUCCCUUCCUCCAGAUGCAACAAACACCAUUUAUGUUGAGGGCCUCCCUAUCAACUGUACUAGACGGGAAGUUGCGCAUAUAUUUCGCCAAUAUAUGGGGUUCCUUGAAAUGAGACUGGUCAACAAAGGAUCUAAUAAACAUUUGUGCUUUGUUGAUUUUGCAACCCCAGCACAAGCUUUUUUUGCCAUGAGAAAUCUUCAAGGCUACAAGUUUGAUGAGCAGGACCCUCACUCACGCAUUUUGAACCUGCAGUUCUCUCGCUCUCCUCGUAUGGGUUCACAUGGACUGGUCGCUCCCGGAGCCGUCCGAGCAUGUAUCUGAUCCUCCGUUGCCGUUUGGUGGUUUGCAUCGCGGAAGGAUGUCGUCUGUCAUAGCGUUCCUCGUUCGUUUAAUGGCAGCACAGCUUAUAUGUAUCGAGCUCACAGCACGCAUCCGAUGGAGUGUCAAAGCUUCUAUGGGACGCCAGGAAUGGCCAGAUGUCAAGUCUGAACACUAUGAUAUCCUUGAUGAGCAAGCGAGAUUGCUGUUCACUACAGAAAAUUAUGGAAUCAAGAGAAGUAGAGAGAAGUAGGGCCUGUUUGUUUGGGAUUAUAAUAUACUCAUGAUGGAGGACUUGAGGUUGCGCAAGUGCUGAAAUUCUGGGCGUGUAGAUUACCCUGACCCAACCACACAAACAACCUGGACCUACGUGUUUCCCAUCCCAUGAUAUACUAUCAAACGUUUGGCCAAAACGAUCCAGACUUCUCCAGAUGUUAGAAAUAAAUGGGGGCGAAAAAAAACAGCACUUUAUUGGUAGCCACCAGUUCUGAGUUUCAUCCUACAAAUAGGGAUGUUUAAGAUGCCCAACCGGAUUGUUCACCUGAAAAUCAAAUGAUGACCUAAACAAGAGUACAGCUAAAG
RNA transcript from Zea mays, 2243 nucleotides. RefSeq lists it as uncharacterized. NCBI's taxonomy places the organism in Eukaryota, Viridiplantae, Streptophyta, Magnoliopsida, Poales, Poaceae. The record is from RefSeq and is marked predicted. The transcript is spliced from 7 exons.